This 746-nucleotide ribosomal RNA is filed under the name uncultured bacterium. RNAcentral's name for it is "bacterial SSU rRNA". It matches the Rfam family "Bacterial small subunit ribosomal RNA", at positions 75 to 822 of the family's 1533-position model. The record is from RNAcentral.
GACCUUCGGGUUCGAGCCNAGUGGCGGACGGGUGAGCAACACGUGACCGACCUAGCUUCGAGUGGGGGGCAACCCGGGGAAACCUGGGCUAAUACCGCAUACUGCCUCGCUGUCGCAUGGCGGUGAGAUGAAAGAGGGCCUCUGCUUGCAAGCUCUCGCUCGAGGGGGGGGUCGCGGCGUAUCAGCUUGUUGGUGAGGUAAAGGCUCACCAAGCCAAUGACGGAUAGCUGGUCUGAGAGGACGACCAGCCAGAGGGGGACUGCGACACGGCCCCCACUCCUACGGGAGGCAGCAGCAGGGAAUCUUGCGCAAUGGGCGAAAGCCUGACGCAGCGACGCCGCGUGCGGGAAGAAGGCCUUCGGGUUGUAAACCGCUUUUCUGAGGGAAGAGAAAGGACGGUACCUCAGGAAUAAGCCUCGGCUAACUACGUGCCAGCAGCCGCGGUGAUACGUAGGAGGCAAGCGUUGUCCGGAUUUACUGGGCGUAAAGGGCGUGUAGGCGGUACAGAAAGUCUUUGCUUAAAUAUCCCGGCUCAACUGGGAAAGUGGCAGAGAUACUUCUGAACUAGAGGGCGGUAGAGGAGAGCGGAAUUCCCGGUGUAGUAGUGGAAUGCGUAGAUAUCGAGAGGAACACCAGUGGCGAAAGCGGCUCUCUGGGCUGUACCUGACGCUGAGGCGCGAAAGCGUGGGUAGCAAACCGGAUUAGAUACCCGGGUAGUCCACGCCAUAAACGAUGGAUGCUGGGUA